GGGGUUGUGGCUCGGUGGUAGAGCGCUCACCUAGCACAUGGGAGGCAUUGGAUUCAAACCUCAGCCCCA
This 69-nucleotide transfer RNA is filed under the name Marmota monax (woodchuck). It matches the Rfam family "tRNA". From Rfam's summary of the family: Transfer RNA (tRNA) molecules are approximately 80 nucleotides in length. The record is from Rfam by way of RNAcentral. Lineage: Eukaryota; Metazoa; Chordata; Mammalia; Rodentia; Sciuridae.